Molecule: long non-coding RNA, 2542 nt
Filed under: Homo sapiens (human)
Lineage: Eukaryota; Metazoa; Chordata; Mammalia; Primates; Hominidae
Description: non-protein coding lnc-TRIM26-2:45
Source: RNAcentral
AGUGGAAGCUGGGGUGUCGGCGGGCGGCCGCGGCCGGGUCUAGCGGUGCCUGCGGAAGAAGGAGGAGGAGGGCUGGCGAUGAGAAGCAGCAGGGGGAAUCAAGGGCAAGAAGGGACCCAGAGGGGCAGGUGGCUGAGAUGCUGGCGUCCAGGUGACCCGAGGAAUCCUCUGGAGAUACAGGCCCGCGCAUGCGCGUGCUCGAGCGCUGAAGCCCAUUGCCCGCAGGGCGCUGGACUGGCGCCCCGGCCGGCGAGGCUGUCUAGUCCAGGCUCCAGGCCCCGGCUCUGGCCAGGCGCCGCCGCCUCCCGGUGCAGCUGAAAGUCGACGAAGAGGGCGGGGCGGGGGCGGCUUGUGGACUUCCACACUUUUCCUCUCUUCGGGCCAGUCUGGGGAGAGGGUGGCUAGCUGUGGCGGCGGCCAAUUACGUGGCGGACCUGCGGGGCUAAGCUGGCACGUCACUUCCGACUAGUGGAGUUUUUAGCCUUUUAACAUUCAAGGAUUAGGUAAAAGUCUUGCAGUGAAAAACCCGAGGACCCUUACCGCAAGUGUCUUUUGCUCCCAGCUACUGAUACUGGAUUCCACUCGUGAUUCUCCCUUUCUUAGCGCAUUCAUGAUAUAGACAUCAGUCUCUGAGCUGGAGGAGGACAAAGGCAGCGGUCCUGUGAAUUCUAUGCUCUAGCUUGGGUUAAGGGAUUUGGAAUUGCACUUGUUUCAGAGAGCUCCCUCUUUGCCCACUAGCAGGGCAUUAGCUGGUGCUGAAGACAGUGGCUGCUUGGCGAGCCUGGAUCUCCAAGUGACCCCCUCAGCAACUCCUGAUGAACAGGACUGAAGCCAAUAUUAAAGCAAGUCAACCAAAGGUUCUCUGGUGUAGACAAGACAGCAAAAGGACAGACUACCUUGUGGAACCUAGCAUUGUUCUCCUUCUGCAGCACUAAGUAACAUUUGUUCUCCGUUAAGAUCUUUGCAAACCACACACAAGAAUUGCUGGUCAUCCUGCCAAUAGAUGCUGCUCACAGAACCAAAUUUCCUGUGCUGAAUUGUCACUCAUGGGCUUGAGAGUAGGAGACUGGAGACCAAGGUGGCUAGAAUCCAGUUGGGCCUGAUGUCUCCCUGUUGAAAGGGCUCCUUGUGGAAUGAAUAGCACAUGGCUCCUGUGGUGGAUCUGAUAGUGGCAUAGCACCAAGUGAUGCAGGCCUGCCAGGGGCCACAGACACAGAAGAUGCUCCCGGGGUCCCCCAUGUACUCCAGACACACUGCAGGCCACCUCUCCCAGCAGGUUGCCAGUCAUGGGCCCCAUCAUCAUGACUUCUGUCCAAGGUACUGUGUGCAGAAAUGUGAUUGAGAUUCAAGUCAGGGCCUCUCUGCCCUUUUCCCUCCAGAAACAAAACCAAGAUAAUUUAUCCUGAACACGGUGAAAAAAGGAAGGGAGGGAGGAGAAAAAGUCCGGGUCUCACCUGGGAUUCUCUGUCUCCUGCAACAUGAAGGAUUUAGCCUGGGAGGAGGUGGUGAGAACUCUGGGAGAGAAAAAAGAAGGAAAGAAUAGUUUUACCCAUGCUGAAGUUAAUUUAAACCUUCACCUAGAGAAGCAAAAAAAAAAAACCCACACUUUCCCAUUUUGUGCCUCCCUUCCUAGAGUUUUAGCCAAAGGUUUAGCUAAGUAAUUGGUUUUACCAGCGCACUCACUCCUCCUAUCCCAAGUCUGUUUGACUCCCUCCCCAUCAUCCUCCUCACCUCUUUUCAGGCAGGGUGGGGAUAGCAGCAGGAGGAGAUUUUGGGAGCCUGGCAACUCCUGCAAGGACCGCAGGACAGCCCCUCUGUGGGGAUGCGUGGUGCCCCAUCUGCCGCCCUUCUGAAGAAUGCACUGCCUUCACUUUUUACUGUGUUAGAGUCCAUCCAGACUGUUCUAUCCAAAAAAGUUUCUUUUUCCCCCACAGGCAAUCAGGAAAUGAUUCCUUUCCCGACUGCUUCUGUCUAGUGCCUGGGAAUCUUGAGUCAAUCCCUCAGUAAGUCAGUGACUAGGGAAAUCCCUCUCUGAGCCUCCCAGUUCAUGUUGCUUAGGGAACCUGAUAUUUUCGUGAAACCUGCCUACACAUGGGCAGCCCAACAGCAGAACAAAUGGUGGUGACCAAAGUGAACAAAGAAGUAUAGUUGUGCCAGCUUCGUAGUUGCCCAUGUGGACAAGUCAGCAGGAUCAGGACACGAGGAAGAGUAAAUGUGAGACAGUCAAUGUGACUUCUGCGAUAAACAGAUUUUUAAACCCCGAAAUUUUGCAAAAUUUUGGUGAAACCUGAACUUUCUUCGUUGCAUAUACUGGCACUAUCUGUACCAUCAUACAACUGUCUCACAUUAAAGCUAUUUUUCUUGGGCACUGAUGAGUAAGGUUGGUAUAAGUUCCUCAGAUCAACAAAAACCCAUUUUCCUGUAAGUCUUACAUUUAGUAUUUAAGGAACUAAAACUUAAAUACAUUUUGUGAAAUGGUUGACACUUCACUGAUAAUGAUUUAUUGCUUGGAUUAAUAAAUUUUCCAAAAGUUGUCUUAUGU